CCUUGGUGGCAUCUGGGGACAUCUGGGAGCACCUGGAGACACCUUGGGGACAUGAGGGUGGCAUCUGGGGACACCCGGGUGGCAUCUGGGGACACCUGGGUGGUAUCUGGGGACACCUUGGUGGCAUAUGAGGACACCUGGGAAAACUUAGGGACACCUGGGUGGCAUCUAGGGACAUCUGGGAGCACCUGGCUGGCACUUGGGGACAUCUGGGUGGCACUUGGGGACACCUUGGUGGCACCUGGGGGCACCUGGUGGCAUCUGGGUGGUGUCUAUGGACACCUUAGUGGCAUCUAGGGACAUCUGUGUGGCGCUUGGGGACAUCUGGGAAAACUUAGGGACACCUGGAGGCACCUGGGUGGCACUUGGGGACACCUGGGUGUCAUCUGGGGACACUUGGGGAUGCCUGAGGACACUUUGGUGGCAGCUGGGCCUACCUUGGUGGCACCUUGGGACACCUGGAGGCAUCUGGGGACGCCUUGGUGGAAUCUGGGAACAUCUAGGAGCACCUGGAGACACCUUGGGGACACCUGGGUGGUGUCUAGGGACAUCUGGAGGCACCUGGGUGGCACUUGGGGACACCUUGGUGGUGCUUAGGGACAUCUGGGGACACCUUGGGGACAUCUCAGGACACUUGUGUAGCACCUUGGGACCCCUGGUGGCAUCUGGAGGCACUUGGGGACACCUGGGUGGUGUCUAGGGACAUCUGCAGCACCUCGGUAGCACUUGGGGACACCUAGCUGGCAUCUGGAGACACCUGGGUGGCACUUGGGGACACCCAGGGGUACCUUGGUGGCACUUGGGGAUGCCUGGGGACAUCUGGGUAGCGCCUGGGCACACCUUGGUGGCAUCUGGGGACAUCUGGAGGUACCUGGGUGGCACUUGGGGACACCUGGGAAAACUUAGGGGCAUCUGGGUGGUGUCUAGGGACACCUGGGGACACCUUGGUGGCACCUGGGGGCACCCAGGUGGCAUCUGGGGACAUCUGGGAGCACCGGGAGACACCUUGGGGACAUCUGGGUGGUGUCUAGGGACACCUUGGUGGCAUCUGGGGACACCUGGGGAACACCUUGGUGGCAUCUGGGGACACCUGGGUGGCAUCUGGGGACAUCUGGGAGCACCGGGAGACACCUUGGGGACACCUGGGUGGUGUCUAGGGACACCUUGGUGGCAUCUGGGGACACCUGGGUGGCUUCACAUCCGUCCCCAAGGGAUUAAGAAGGAACCUGGGCAGCUCCGUGGGUGGCAUUGUCACCUCCUUGUCACCUCAUCGUUGUCCCCUCACUGUCCCCUCCUGUCCCCAGGGAGUUCCUGCGGGAGGCGCUGGCCCCGGCCACCUCGGAGCUGCUCCUGGUGGUGGCACCGGAGGUGGAGCAGCAGNGGACACCUGGGUGGCAUCUGGGGACACCUGGGUGGCAUCUGGGGACACUUGGGGACACGCGGCUGCCGCUGGCCCGCCCGCACUGGCUCUGCGUGUGCCGCCUCGGCCGCCUCUUCUACAACCUGGACUCCAAACUGCCCGCGCCCGCCGCCAUCGGCCACGAGCCCCAGCUCAGGGAGUUCCUGCGGGAGGCGCUGGCCCCGGCCACCUCGGA
Long non-coding RNA from Lonchura striata (white-rumped munia), 1595 nucleotides. Lineage: Eukaryota; Metazoa; Chordata; Aves; Passeriformes; Estrildidae. The record is from Ensembl.